This 18-nucleotide non-coding RNA is filed under the name Arabidopsis thaliana (thale cress). Lineage: Eukaryota; Viridiplantae; Streptophyta; Magnoliopsida; Brassicales; Brassicaceae. The record is from RNAcentral.
CCGACCAGGGAUCAGCGG